Molecule: ribosomal RNA, 492 nt
Filed under: uncultured bacterium
Lineage: Bacteria
Description: partial 16S ribosomal RNA
Rfam family: Bacterial small subunit ribosomal RNA
Source: RNAcentral
AGUGAACGCUGGCGGUAGGCCUAACACAUGCAAGUCGAACGGCAGCACAGUAAGAGCUUGCUCUUACGGGUGGCGAGUGGCGGACGGGUGAGGAAUACAUCGGAAUCUACUUUUUCGUGGGGGAUAACGUAGGGAAACUUACGCUAAUACCGCAUACGACCUACGGGUGAAAGCAGGGGAUCUUCGGACCUUGCGCGAUUGAAUGAGCCGAUGUCGGAUUAGCUAGUUGGCGGGGUAAAGGCCCACCAAGGCGACGAUCCGUAGCUGGUCUGAGAGGGUGAUCAGCCACACUGGAACUGAGACACGGUCCAGACUCCUACGGGAGGAAGCAGUGGGGAAUAUUGGACAAUGGGCGCAAGCCUGAUCCAGCCAUACCGCGUGGGUGAAGAAGGCCUUCGGGUUGUAAAGCCCUUUUGUUGGGAAAGAAAAGCAGCAGGUUAAUACCCCGCUGUUCUGACGGUACCCAAAGAAUAAGCACCGGCUAACUUCGUG